Molecule: ribosomal RNA, 510 nt
Filed under: Curvularia lunata
Lineage: Eukaryota; Fungi; Ascomycota; Dothideomycetes; Pleosporales; Pleosporaceae
Description: eukaryotic LSU rRNA
Rfam family: 5.8S ribosomal RNA (bases 178-331)
Source: RNAcentral
GAAGGCUGUACGCGGCUGUGCUCUCGGGCCAGUUUUGCGGAGGCUGAAUUAUUUAUUACCCUUGUCUUUUGCGCACUUGUUGUUUCCUGGGCGGGUUCGCCCGCCACCAGGACCACAUCAUAAACCUUUUUUAUGCAGUUGCAAUCAGCGUCAGUAUAACAAAUGUAAAUCAUUUACAACUUUCAACAACGGAUCUCUUGGUUCUGGCAUCGAUGAAGAACGCAGCGAAAUGCGAUACGUAGUGUGAAUUGCAGAAUUCAGUGAAUCAUCGAAUCUUUGAACGCACAUUGCGCCCUUUGGUAUUCCAAAGGGCAUGCCUGUUCGAGCGUCAUUUGUACCCUCAAGCUUUGCUUGGUGUUGGGCGUUUUUUGUCUUUGGUUGCCAAAGACUCGCCUUAAAAGGAUUGGCAGCCGGCCUACUGGUUUCGCAGCGCAGCACAUUUUUGCGCUUGCAAUCAGCAAAAGAGGACGGCAAUCCAUCAAGACUCCUUCUCACGUUUGACCUCGGAUC